This 68-nucleotide transfer RNA is filed under the name Nipponocypris temminckii (dark chub). RNAcentral's name for it is "tRNA-Phe". It matches the Rfam family "tRNA". From Rfam's summary of the family: Transfer RNA (tRNA) molecules are approximately 80 nucleotides in length. Their secondary structure includes four short double-helical elements and three loops (D, anti-codon, and T loops). Further hydrogen bonds mediate the characteristic L-shaped molecular structure. tRNAs have two regions of fundamental functional importance: the anti-codon, which is responsible for specific mRNA codon recognition, and the 3' end, to which the tRNAs corresponding amino acid is attached (by aminoacyl-tRNA synthetases). tRNAs cope with the degeneracy of the genetic code in two manners: having more than one tRNA (with a specific anti-codon) for a particular amino acid; and 'wobble' base-pairing, i.e. permitting non-standard base-pairing at the 3rd anti-codon position. Lineage: Eukaryota; Metazoa; Chordata; Actinopteri; Cypriniformes; Xenocyprididae. The record is from RNAcentral.
GCUAGCGUAGCUUAACACAAAGCAUAACACUGAAGAUGUUAAGAUGGGUCUAAGAAACUCCGCAUGCA